Long non-coding RNA from Oncorhynchus tshawytscha (Chinook salmon), 300 nucleotides. NCBI's taxonomy places the organism in Eukaryota, Metazoa, Chordata, Actinopteri, Salmoniformes, Salmonidae. The record is from Ensembl.
GCCGCCUCUACACUCUAACCACUAGGCUACCCUGCCUCCUCUACACUCUAACCACUAGGCUACCUGCCUCCUCUACACUCUACCCACUAGGCUACCCUGCCGCCUCUACACUCUAACCACUAGGCUACCCUGCCUCCUCUACACUCUAACCACUAGGCUACCCUGCCUCCUCUACACUCUAACCACUAGGCUACCCUGCCUCCUCUACACUCUAACCACUAGGCUACCUGCCUCCUCUACACUCUAACCACUAGGCUACCCUGCCGCCUCUACACUCUAACCACUAGGCUACCUGCCGCC